CCUACGGGAGGCUGCAGUGGGGAAUAUUGGACAAUGGGGGGAACCCUGAUCCAGCCAUGCCGCGUGUGUGAAGAAGGCCCUCGGGUUGUAAAGCACUUUCAGUGAGGAAGAACGCCUGGUGGUUAAUACCCAUCAGGAAAGACAUCACUCACAGAAGAAGCACCGGCUAACUCCGUGCCAGCAGCCGCGGUAAUACGGAGGGUGCGAGCGUUAAUCGGAAUUACUGGGCGUAAAGCGCGCGUAGGUGGCUUGAUAAGCCGGUUGUGAAAGCCCCGGGCUCAACCUGGGAACGGCAUCCGGAACUGUCAAGCUAGAGUGCAGGAGAGGAAGGUAGAAUUCCCGGUGUAGCGGUGAAAUGCGUAGAGAGCGGGAGGAAUACCAGUGGCGAAGGUGGCCUUCUGGACUGACACUGACACUGAGGUGCGAAAGCGUGGGUAGCAAACAGGAUUAGAUACCCCUGUAGUC
This 465-nucleotide ribosomal RNA is filed under the name Vreelandella stevensii. Its description in RNAcentral is "partial 16S ribosomal RNA". It matches the Rfam family "Bacterial small subunit ribosomal RNA", at positions 338 to 795 of the family's 1533-position model. The record is from RNAcentral. Lineage: Bacteria; Pseudomonadati; Pseudomonadota; Gammaproteobacteria; Oceanospirillales; Halomonadaceae.